GAAACAACUGCGGCUCGGGUUCAUCAUAAGGAUAUCAUCAAUAUUUCGCAAUGGCCAAUAUAGAUGAUGUCUUCAUGAUGCUCCGGAGUUGGUCAAUCACGCC
This 103-nucleotide microRNA precursor is filed under the name Ixodes scapularis (black-legged tick). Its description in RNAcentral is "microRNA isc-mir-5314 precursor". The record is from miRBase by way of RNAcentral. Lineage: Eukaryota; Metazoa; Arthropoda; Arachnida; Ixodida; Ixodidae.